CAACUUUCAGCAACGGAUCUCUUGGCUCUCGCAUCGAUGAACAACGCAGCGAAAUGCGAUAAGUAAUGUGAAUUGCAGAAUUCAGUGAAUCAUCGAAUCUUUGAACGCACCUUGCGCUCCUUGGUAUUCCGAGGAGCAUGCCUGUUUGAGUGUCAUUA
RNAcentral lists this ribosomal RNA (158 nucleotides) under Alnicola umbrina. RNAcentral's name for it is "5.8S ribosomal RNA". It matches the Rfam family "5.8S ribosomal RNA". Rfam says of the family: 5.8S ribosomal RNA (5.8S rRNA) is a component of the large subunit of the eukaryotic ribosome. It is transcribed by RNA polymerase I as part of the 45S precursor that also contains 18S and 28S rRNA. Lineage: Eukaryota; Fungi; Basidiomycota; Agaricomycetes; Agaricales; Hymenogastraceae. The record is from RNAcentral.